RNAcentral lists this unclassified non-coding RNA (313 nucleotides) under plant metagenome. RNAcentral's name for it is "partial contains 5.8S ribosomal RNA, internal transcribed spacer 2, and large subunit ribosomal RNA". The stretch from base 1 to 106 matches the Rfam family "5.8S ribosomal RNA", at positions 50 to 154 of the family's 154-position model. The record is from RNAcentral.
GAAAUGCGAUAAGUAAUGUGAAUUGCAGAAUUCCGUGAAUCAUCGAAUCUUUGAACGCACGUUGCGCCCUCUGGCAUUCCGGGGGGGCAUGCCUGUCCGAGCGUCAUUACGCACCCUCAAGCCCGGCUUGUGUGAUGGGCCCUGGCGUCUCGUUCGCGAGACGGGCCCGAAAGGCAGCGGCGGCGUCGACCCGAUGAGCCCGAGCGUAUGGGGACUUUUGUCACACGUUUGCGGUGCGGACCGGCGCCUGCUUGACUUUUCUGAUUAUCCAGGUUGACCUCGGAUCAGGUAGGGAUACCCGCUGAACUUAAGC